AGUGAACGCUGGCGGUAGGCCUAACACAUGCAAGUCGAACGGCAGCACAGUAAGAGCUUGCUCUUACGGGUGGCGAGUGGCGGACGGGUGAGGAAUACAUCGGAAUCUACUUUUUCGGGGGGGAUAACGUAGGGAAACUUACGCUAAUACCUCAUACGACCUACGGGUGAAAGUAGGGGAUCUUCGGACCUUGCGCGAUUGAAUGAGCCGAUGUCGGAUUAGCUAGUUGGCGGGGUAAAGGCCCACCAAGGCGACGAUCCGUAGCUGGUCUGAGAGGAUGGUCAGCCACACUGGAACUGAGCCACGGUCCAGACUCCUACGGGAGGAAGCAGUGGGGAAUAUUGGACAAUGGGCGCAAGCCUGCUCCAGCCAUACCGCGUGGGUGAAGAAGGCCUUCGGGUUGUAAAGCCCUUUUGUUGGGAAAGAAAAGUAGCAGGUUAAUACCCCGCUGUUCUGACAGUACCCAAAGAAUAAGCACCGGCUAACUUCGUG
Molecule: ribosomal RNA, 492 nt
Filed under: uncultured bacterium
Lineage: Bacteria
Description: partial 16S ribosomal RNA
Rfam family: Bacterial small subunit ribosomal RNA
Source: RNAcentral